UAAAAAUCAGAUUUUCACAGAAUUUUUGAACAAGUGAGUUUAAAAAUCAUUCCCUCUAAAUUUAUCUUAUUCACAGAUGAACAAAAUCACUUUCACAGAAAUUAUAUGUUUAGUUAUGAUCCUGUAGUAAUAGAACCAUGAUUAGAAUCCAGAUUCCUGGACCACAGUUUGAUAUGCUUGAUGUUCAGCUAACCUAUAAAAUUAAAUUAGGGAUGAUGGUUUAAGAAAAGAAUUCACAUAAAAAUUCUCAUUUAUUUCCUACAUUCAGCAUAUUUUCAUUUCCUGUAGUCCCACUUAUUUCAACUUUAAAAGCCAUAAAAUAUGACAUAACAUUUUCCUGUAUAAAUCUCAAGGCUAAGGUAUAAACAACAUCCAUUCAUUAAAAUGUCAUACUUAUCCUUAAAUAUGUUAAAUGGAAAAAAAUGAAACCAUGAAAAAAGAAAGCUCUUAAAUAGAAGCAUAUUUAUCUCCUCUUGAUUUGGGGAAAAUUUUCCAAGCAUAAAAGAAAUGGCAGCAAAAGUGAGGAAAAGAUGAAAAGAUUUGGCUGCAUUAACAAUAAAAAAAGUUUUUUGCCAAGAAGUAUCUUUAGUAACAUAAAUAUGGGCAAAAAUCAUAAACAGGUGGUUCUCAGAUCAGAUACAUAGCUGUUCAACAUAGAAAAACAGUGUUCAGUGUUACUAUAAACCUAAACAGAAAACCUUGUAUACCUUACUUGGCUGGCAAAAAUUAUUCAGUGUUGGAGAAGGUGGAAUAUAAAUUGGCAGAAUAUUUCUGGAAGGAAAUUUGGCCAUAACAAAAACCUUGAAAAUAUGUCUCCUGUUUAACUCAGCAAUGGUCAAGUACAUGGAUGUGUACAUACAAGAAUAUCCAUCAGUGUUUCAUACAAGGAUAAAAUAUUUUGAAUUUUCUAAAUGCACAUUUCCUCCCUCUGGGUAGCCAUCUUCUCUUCGAAGAGUGACCAUUGCCUCUUUGCCUAGAAAUAUUGGAAAUGCAGGAAUGUUGGCUGGGAUGGAAAAUAAUGACCGAUUCAGUAGGAGGUCAAGCAGUUGGCGUAUUUUGGGGUCAAAGCAGAGUGAACACCGUCCCUCAUUACAUCGAUUUAUUAGCACCUAUUCCUGGGCAGAUGCUGAAGAAGAAAA
Odocoileus virginianus texanus is the source of this 1139-nucleotide non-coding RNA. The record is from RefSeq and is a predicted model, not a curated record. NCBI's taxonomy places the organism in Eukaryota, Metazoa, Chordata, Mammalia, Artiodactyla, Cervidae.